This is a long non-coding RNA of Engraulis encrasicolus (European anchovy), 947 nucleotides long. RefSeq lists it as uncharacterized. The record is from RefSeq and is a predicted model, not a curated record. NCBI's taxonomy places the organism in Eukaryota, Metazoa, Chordata, Actinopteri, Clupeiformes, Engraulidae. The transcript has 3 exons.
CGUCAUCUUUCUGCGACACUCAUUCUGACAGCCAGCCAGCUCUGCUCCGGCAGUCGGCAACAUGAUAAAGUAACAAGAAGCAAACGUUGAAGCUCUCGGUUUUUAACAGUUCUUCGGCUAGAACUUUGCUAUGGGUUGAAUGUGCGCAUAUACUGGAUGCUGAAACUAAACGACAAGCUUUAUGAAACCGUGGCAUUUUGCGUUGAGAUGGAAAAGGAACGCGCCACACUCUCCUGGAUACGAGGCUACGUGUGUGCGGCUUUUGCGCCAAAGGUCUUUCUACCAGCAAAACAAAAUAGCAGGACAGAAGUGACAGCGUCAGAAAGAAAACAAUGCUGUUCCGAUUGCUGAUGGAGACAACAGAGAAAGACAGGAGAAGGUCAAGACUCAAGAGCUGGACUUUCCAUGACGUCCUCACUCGACCCCUGUGAAUAGCAGCCCACCGUUGACCAGCCAUCAGUAUCUACUGUGCAGUCCUUUCCUGACCCGGUUUCUCACUAGCCCUUCGCAGACGAACACUACCACCUGACGACGGUCGUCUGGAUAAUACUUCGGUUUGGCACCGGCAUGGUCUACCACAAAGAUAGACGCCAGACCUUCUGAAAGGACCUAAUGGACUGAGUGCUGGAAAGGAGACAACCCCUCUAUAGAAUAAACUGAGUGUAACAAACACUCCACCACGAAAACUCUCCACUCCAGUCCCAAUAACAGACAUGUAUGUUUUAGUGUCAUGACGGAGCAAUCAUUUCGGAAGGUCCUAAACCCUAUUUAUCUAAAAUACUUUCUGAUGUUUGAUAGUGACAUCUUGGUUACCCAAUAAGACAUUUCUUACAUUAUUACAAGAUUCUUCACUUCUUCCUACAUUGUUAAUGACUGAAUGAUUACAAUUAUGAUGUACACAUUGUUAUUGGUCACACCUGCUGACAUUAAAGUCCCAGUAAAAUCUU